RNAcentral lists this ribosomal RNA (421 nucleotides) under Potamonautes namuliensis. RNAcentral describes it as "partial 16S ribosomal RNA". The stretch from base 298 to 421 matches the Rfam family "Bacterial large subunit ribosomal RNA", at positions 2473 to 2597 of the family's 2925-position model. Lineage: Eukaryota; Metazoa; Arthropoda; Malacostraca; Decapoda; Potamonautidae. The record is from RNAcentral.
UUUAAUUGAGAUCUUGUAUGAAUGAUUGGACAAAAAAAUAACUGUCUUUGCAUUAAAAUUUAAAUUUAACUUUUAAGUGAAAAGGCUUAAAUGUUCUAAAGGGACGAUAAGACCCUAUAAAACUUUACAUUAUAAAUUAAUGUUUAUUAAUUUAUACAAUAAUAAUUAAAUUUAAUUUAUUUGUUAUGUUGGGGAGACAGAGGCUAUAAUUUUAUAUAACUGCUUAAAAGAAAAACAAAGAUAAAUGAUUAGUGUAAAGGAUCCUUUAUAAAGAUUAUAAGAUUAAGUUACUUUAGGGAUAACAGCGUUAUUUUUUUUAAGAGUUCAUAUCGAAAAAAGAGAUUGCGACCUCGAUGUUGAAUUAAAAUAUCUUUAUAAUGCAGGCGUUAUAAAAGAAGGUCUGUUCGACCUUUGAUUUUUU